CAGCUAAUUAACCUGGCAUCAUUAACCUGCAGAGUUAACCUGCCACGCCAGCCCUGCUCUGGGCAUCCCAACCAACCCAUUUCCAGCUGGUUCCCCCAGCUCAGAGCCCCCCAGCCAGCGGGGCUGAGCUCAGGGGAGUCAGACCCAGCUCAGCAGGCAGCAAAUGCUGUCCCUGGGGAAGCUGGAGGAGAGACAGGCCACAAAUCCCUGGUUUGUCUGUGCAGGAAAGGGCAGGACACAGCCCAGCAGCACUGCCAGGAAAAGGGGACACACAUCAGGCACGUUCCAGAGGGUCCCACAGGCAGCUCAACUCACACAGAGCUUCUGAGACUUCAGCUGGACCUUCCAGACCACCACAGACAGGUGUGGCAGGAGUAUUGGUCUUUCCUGGAGAUUUCCAGCCCUGGCUCCCAGCUCCAGAAGAAUCCAGAACAGAACUGUAAGAGUUGCUCACUGAAAUCCCACGAGAAAGAGUGAAAUAGGUGCCUGGGACUUGAGCUGACACCACACAGAGAACUUCAGAGUACAAGAAUGGAAUCUGGGGCAAAAAAAACAUUUUUAUAUGCUCAUAUUAAAAGCAGCGUGAACACAA
This is a long non-coding RNA of Cyanistes caeruleus (blue tit), 592 nucleotides long. RefSeq lists it as uncharacterized. NCBI's taxonomy places the organism in Eukaryota, Metazoa, Chordata, Aves, Passeriformes, Paridae. The record is from RefSeq and is a predicted model, not a curated record.